GUUCCCCAUGAUGCUUCAAUAUACACCAUGCUAAUGCUGAUCAAUCCAUGAUCGAUCCCUUCUUUCAUAUGCUGAGGGAAUG
Small nucleolar RNA from Juglans microcarpa x Juglans regia, 82 nucleotides. RefSeq annotates it as small nucleolar RNA snoR53Y. The transcript has a single exon. Lineage: Eukaryota; Viridiplantae; Streptophyta; Magnoliopsida; Fagales; Juglandaceae. The record is from RefSeq and is a predicted model, not a curated record.